Molecule: ribosomal RNA, 919 nt
Filed under: archaeon RC42
Lineage: Archaea
Description: bacterial SSU rRNA
Rfam family: Archaeal small subunit ribosomal RNA
Source: RNAcentral
AUCGAUUUAGCCAUGCUAGUCGCACGAGUUCAGACUCGUGGCGAAUAGCUCAGUAACACGUGGCCAAACUACCCUUCGGACUACAAUACCCUCGGGAAACUGAGGCUAAUAGUAGAUACCACAGUCCACCUGGAAUGAGGACUGUGCUAAAUGCUCCGGCGCCGAAGGAUGUGGCUGCGGCCGAUUAGGUAGACGGUGGGGUAACGGCCCACCGUGCCAAUAAUCGGUACGGGUCAUGAGAGUGAGAACCCGGAGACGGAAUCUGAGACAAGAUUCCGGGCCCUACGGGGCGCAGCAGGCGCGAAACCUUUACACUGCACGACAGUGCGAUAAGGGAAUCCCAAGUGCGUAGGCAUAGAGCCUACGCUUUUGUCCACCGUAGGGAGGUGGACGAAUAAGGGCUGGGCAAGACCGGUGCCAGCCGCCGCGGUAAUACCGGCAGCCCGAGUGAUGGCCGAUCUUAUUGGGCCUAAAGCGUCCGUAGCUGGCCGCACAAGUCCAUCGGAAAAUCCACCCGCUCAACGGGUGGGCGUCCGGUGGAAACUGUGUGGCUUGGGACCGGAAGGCGCGACGGGUACGUCCGGGGUAGGAGUGAAAUCCUGUAAUCCUGGACGGACCGCCGAUGGCGAAAGCACGUCGCGAGAACGGAUCCGACAGUGAGGGACGAAAGCUAGGGUCUCGAACCGGAUUAGAUACCCGGGUAGUCCUAGCCGUAAACAAUGCCUGCUAGGUGUGGCUCCCACUACGAGUGGGUGCUGUGCCGUAGGGAAGCCGCUAAGCAGGCCGCCUGGGAAGUACGUCCGCAAGGAUGAAACUUAAAGGAAUUGGCGGGGGAGCACUACAACCGGAGGAGCCUGCGGUUUAAUUGGACUCAACGCCCGGACAUCUCACCAGCAUCGACUGUAAUAAUGACGAUCAA